AGCGAACGCUGGCGGCGGGCCUAACACAUGCAAGUCGAACGGAUCCUUCGGGAUUAGUGGCGGACGGGUGAGGAACACGUGGGAACGUGCCUUUUGGUUCGGAACAACUCAGGGAAACUUGAGCUAAUACCGGAUAAGCCCUUCGGGGGAAGGAUUUAUCGCCAUUAGAGCGGCCCGCGUCUGAUUAGCUAGUUGGUGGGGUAAAGACCUACCAAGGCUACGAUCAGUAGCUGGUCUGAGGGGAUGANCAGCCACAUUGGGACUGAGACACGGCCCAAACUCCUACGGGAGGCAGCAGUGGGGAAUCUUGCGCAAUGGGCGAAAGCCUGACGCAGCCAUGCCGCGUGAAUGAUGAA
Molecule: ribosomal RNA, 356 nt
Filed under: uncultured bacterium
Lineage: Bacteria
Description: bacterial SSU rRNA
Rfam family: Bacterial small subunit ribosomal RNA
Source: RNAcentral